Molecule: ribosomal RNA, 500 nt
Filed under: uncultured bacterium
Lineage: Bacteria
Description: partial 16S ribosomal RNA
Rfam family: Bacterial small subunit ribosomal RNA
Source: RNAcentral
AUUGAACGCUGGCGGCAGGCCUAACACAUGCAAGUCGAGCGGAUGACGGGAGCUUGCUCCUUGAUUCAGCGGCGGACGGGUGAGUAAUGCCUAGGAAUCUGCCUGGUAGUGGGGGACAACGUUUCGAAAGGAACGCUAAUACCGCAUACGUCCUACGGGAGAAAGCAGGGGACCUUCGGGCCUUGCGCUAUCAGAUGAGCCUAGGUCGGAUUAGCUAGUAGGUGAGGUAAUGGCUCACCUAGGCGACGAUCCGUAGCUGGUCUGAGAGGAUGGUCAGUCACACUGGAACUGAGACACGGUCCAGACUCCUACGGGAGGCAGCAGUGGGGAAUAUUGGACAAUGGGCGAAAGCCUGAUCCAGCCAUGCCGCGUGUGUGAAGAAGGUCUUCGGAUUGUAAAGCACUUUAAGUUGGGAGGAAGGGUUGUACGUUAAUACCGUGCAAUUUUGACGUUACCGACAGAAUAAGCACCGGCUAACUCUGUGCCAGCCGCCGCCGUAA